AUAAGGUCUAACCUGCCCACUGAAUUUUGUUUGAAGGGCCGCAGUAUUUUGACUGUGCAAAGGUAGCAUAAUCAUUAGUCUUUUAAUUGAAGGCUGGUAUGAAUGGUUGGACGAGAUACAAGCUGUGUCAUAAAAAUUAAAAUUUGAAUUUAUCUUUUUAGUUAAAAGACUAAAAUAAAAUUAAAAGACGAGAAGACCCUAUAGAGCUUUAUAUAAUUAAUAUUUAAAUUAUUAAGAUUUUUUAAAUUGAAAUAUUAUUUUAUAUUUUGUUGGGGUGACAAUAAAAUUUAUAAAACUUUUAUUUUUAUUAAACAUUAAUUUAUGAUUAGAUGAUCCAGUUUUAUUGAUUAUAAAUUUAAGUUACCUUAGGGAUAACAGCGUAAUUUUUUUUGAGAGUUCUUAUCGACAAAAAAGAUUGCGACCUCGAUGUUGGAUUAAGAGUAAUUUUGGGUGUAGAAGUUCAAAAU
Molecule: ribosomal RNA, 467 nt
Filed under: Simulium kilibanum
Lineage: Eukaryota; Metazoa; Arthropoda; Insecta; Diptera; Simuliidae
Description: partial 16S ribosomal RNA
Rfam family: Bacterial large subunit ribosomal RNA
Source: RNAcentral